AUGAGUUAGUGUUGUUGUAACUUUGGGAAAUUCACUGGGCAUGAUCCACUUUAGAUAAACAAACUUACCUGUAAACGUUCCAAAGUUGAAAGCUUAUUUCUAAAACCAGAAUUUGAUCAUAAGAUACUAUCUCUAUGUAUUCAAUCUUUUUUUCAGCAAACAUUCUCUCAUUUACUGGAAAAUAUAUGUUAGAAAUAUACAUUCCCAGUUCCCUUUUAUAUUAGUUUUAUUAUCACUUUGUGUCAUAGAGAAAAGAGAUUUGAGCAUGGUUGUUUAUUUCUCAAAUUCUGGUGUCAGAUGACUUUACUUUCAGACUUGUUUGGGCCAGAUCCCCAGGUUUACCGAAGAAGAUCAUUUGAUAAACAGCAUCUAGGAGUUCCAUCCUUCCUCUGCUGUACUGAAGAGGAUGUCCAAAGGUGACUCCACAAGCUGGAGGAGAUGUAUGAAGACAAAGACAUAUCUCCUUAAAAACCCCCGGCCUCAACUGGACUGCGCGCUCAGCCCUCUGCCUCUAUGCUGAGUCACCCGUGUGCCUGCCCAGGUGUAAUCUCUCCACUCAACCAUGUAACCUCGCUCCUCCCCUGAGUCCCAGUGACUGAGCACUUUCUCUCAGGUUCUGUCUGGAGAGGUGCCCAUCUGUUCUUAUGGAUGUCCUUUCCCUAAUAAACUUUGUUACUUUACUUUCCACUA
Oryctolagus cuniculus (rabbit) is the source of this 690-nucleotide long non-coding RNA. RefSeq lists it as uncharacterized. Lineage: Eukaryota; Metazoa; Chordata; Mammalia; Lagomorpha; Leporidae. The record is from RefSeq and is a predicted model, not a curated record.